Molecule: non-coding RNA, 325 nt
Organism: Carica papaya (papaya)
Lineage: Eukaryota; Viridiplantae; Streptophyta; Magnoliopsida; Brassicales; Caricaceae
Source: RefSeq, a predicted model, not a curated record
UGGUCCAAUUGUGGUUUACUCUUACAGGUUAGUGUGGUCAUGGCACAAUGGUGUCUUCUCCAGAAAUCUUCGAAUCUUGUCCAUCCAUGAAGGGCAGCAAAAGGGUCUACUUCGGAUUGCAGAAGAGGUUCGUCCAGCUCAUCCGUGUUGGAGAUUCUAACAACCAGCUCAGGCUACCUGCUGUUGCAGCUCGUCACUAUGAGAGGAAGCUCAAUGUCUUCUUGUAUGUAUAUGUUUGUUUUCUAAUCUAGCUGAAAUUUAUUUUUUAUCUGUCUUGAUUCUAGUUUCUUUUGGUAAUUGAAAUAGAGAAACUCACCUUUCCUGA